UACCUCUGGUGGAGCUGUUGUCGCGCCAGCGGCAGUGCAGCAUAGCUAUGUACGGACGGGAUAACCGCUGAAAGCAUCUAAGCGGGAAACCCACCUCAAAACGAGUAUUCCCUUGAGAACCGUGGAAGACGACCACGUUGAUAGGCCGGGUGUGGAAGUGCGGCAACGCAUGUAGCUUACCGGUACUAAUCGUUCGAUUGGCUUGAUUGC
This 210-nucleotide ribosomal RNA is filed under the name Nitrobacter sp. Its description in RNAcentral is "partial 23S ribosomal RNA". It matches the Rfam family "Bacterial large subunit ribosomal RNA", at positions 2704 to 2925 of the family's 2925-position model. RNAcentral also lists the same sequence under 1 other name. The record is from RNAcentral. Lineage: Bacteria; Pseudomonadati; Pseudomonadota; Alphaproteobacteria; Hyphomicrobiales; Nitrobacteraceae.